GCGGACGGGUGAGUACACGUGGGAACGUGCCUUUAGGUUCGGAAUAACUCAGGGAAACUUGUGCUAAUACCGAAUGUGCCCUUCGGGGGAAAGAUUUAUCGCCUUUAGAGCGGCCCGCGUCUGAUUAGCUAGUUGGUGAGGUAAAGGCUCACCAAGGCGACGAUCAGUAGCUGGUCUGAGAGGAUGAUCAGCCACAUUGGGACUGAGACACGGCCCAAACUCCUACGGGAGGCAGCAGUGGGGAAUCUUGCGCAAUGGGCGAAAGCCUGACGCAGCCAUGCCGCGUGAAUGAUGAAGGUCUUACGAUUGCAAAAUUCUUUCACCGGGGACGAUAAUGACGGUACCCGGUAG
Molecule: ribosomal RNA, 351 nt
Filed under: Brevundimonas sp. BAS103i
Lineage: Bacteria; Pseudomonadati; Pseudomonadota; Alphaproteobacteria; Caulobacterales; Caulobacteraceae
Description: bacterial SSU rRNA
Rfam family: Bacterial small subunit ribosomal RNA
Source: RNAcentral